GUCAUAUGCUUGUCUCAAAGAUAAGCCAUGCAUGUCUCAGUACAAGCCAAAUUAAGGUGAAACCGCGAAAGGCUCAUUAAAUCAGUUAUGGUUCCUUAGAUCGUACCCACAAUUACUUGGAUAACUGUGGUAAUUCUAGAGCUAAUACAUGCAAACAGAGCUCCGACCGGAGACGGAAGGAGUGCUUUUAUUAGAUCAAAACCAAUCGGUGGCGGGUUCGCCCGUCAUCGUACAACUUGGUGACUCUGAAUAACUUUACGCUGAUCGCACGGUCAUCGCACCGGCGACGCAUCUUUCAAAUGUCUGCCUUAUCAACUGUCGAUGGUAGGUUCUGCGCCUACCAUGGUUGUAACGGGUAACGGGGAAUCAGGGUUCGAUUCCGGAGAGGGAGCCUGAGAAACGGCUACCACAUCCAAGGAAGGCAGCAGGCGCGCAAAUUACCCACUCCCGGCACGGGGAGGUAGUGACGAAAAAUAACGAUACGGGACUCAUCCGAGGCCCCGUAAUCGGAAUGAGUACACUCUAAACCCUUUAACGAGGAUCAAUUGGAGGGCAAGUCUGGUGCCAGCAGCCGCGGUAAUUCCAGCUCCAAUAGCGUAUAUUAAAGUUGUUGCGGUUAAAAAGCUCGUAGUCGAAUUUGUGUUUCGCGCCGCCGGUUCAUCGUCCGCGGUGUUAACUGGCGAGUCGCGAGACGUCCUGCCGGUGGGCUUAGCUCGCGAGGGCGGCCCAACUCAAUCCUGCCGCGGUGCUCUUCAUUGAGUGUCGAGGUGGGCCGGCACGUUUACUUUGAACAAAUUAGAGUGCUUAAAGCAGGCUAAAACUUCGCCUGAAUACUGUGUGCAUGGAAUAAUGGAAUAGGACCUCGGUUCUAUUUUGUUGGUUUUCGGAACCCCGAGGUAAUGAUUAAUAGGAACGGAUGGGGGCAUUCGUAUUGCGACGUUAGAGGUGAAAUUCUUGGAUCGUCGC
This 966-nucleotide ribosomal RNA is filed under the name Trigonopterus sp. 851 AR-2022a. RNAcentral's name for it is "SSU rRNA". It matches the Rfam family "Eukaryotic small subunit ribosomal RNA", at positions 23 to 931 of the family's 1831-position model. The record is from RNAcentral. Lineage: Eukaryota; Metazoa; Arthropoda; Insecta; Coleoptera; Curculionidae.